This 586-nucleotide ribosomal RNA is filed under the name uncultured Helotiales. RNAcentral describes it as "eukaryotic LSU rRNA". The stretch from base 226 to 379 matches the Rfam family "5.8S ribosomal RNA". The record is from RNAcentral. Lineage: Eukaryota; Fungi; Ascomycota; Leotiomycetes; Helotiales.
CUUGGUCAUUUAGAGGAAGUAAAAGUCGUAACAAGGUUUCCGUAGGUGAACCUGCGGAAGGAUCAUUACAGAGAUCAUGCCCUUCGGGGUAGACCUCCCACCCUUUGUUAUACCAACGAAUGUUGCUUUGGCGAGCCGCCCUAGGCCGUCGGCCUCGGCUGACGCGUGCUCGCCAGAGACCCCAAACUCUGUAUCAGUGUCGUCUGAGUACUAUAUAAUAGUUAAAACUUUCAACAACGGAUCUCUUGGUUCUGGCAUCGAUGAAGAACGCGGCGAAAUGCGAUAAGUAAUGUGAAUUGCAGAAUUCAGUGAAUCAUCGAAUCUUUGAACGCACAUUGCGCCCCUUGGUAUUCCGGGGGGCAUGCCUGUUCGAGCGUCAUUUCAACCCUCAAGCUCUGCUUGGUCUUGGGCCCUGCCGGCAACGGCUGGCCUCAAAAGUAGUGGCGGCGCCAUCGUGCUCUCAGCGUAGUAAUUCUUCUCGCUGUUGGGUCCCGGUGGACGCUGGCCAGCAACCCCCCAUUUCUAAUGUUGACCUCGGAUCAGGUAGGGAUACCCGCUGAACUUAAGCAUAUCAAUAAGCGGAGGA